This 253-nucleotide ribosomal RNA is filed under the name uncultured bacterium. Its description in RNAcentral is "partial 16S ribosomal RNA". It matches the Rfam family "Bacterial small subunit ribosomal RNA", at positions 524 to 776 of the family's 1533-position model. The record is from RNAcentral.
UACAGAGGGGGCAAGCGUUGUUCGGAAUUACUGGGCGUAAAGGGCGCGUAGGCGGCCUGUUAAGUCGAACGUGAAAUCCCUGGGCUCAACCCAGGAACUGCGUCCGAUACUGGCAGGCUUGAGUUCGGGAGAGGGAUGCGGAAUUCCAGGUGUAGCGGUGAAAUGCGUAGAUAUCUGGAGGAACACCGGUGGCGAAGGCGGCAUCCUGGACCGAUAUUGACGCUGAGGCGCGAAAGCCAGGGGAGCAAACGGG